UCCUAGUAAAGUGGCGGAAGGGUGAGGAAUGGGUCGAUAACGUACCCUUUAGAUGGGGAUAACGGUCCGAAAGGACCGCUAAUACCCGGUAAGACCACGAUGGGGCAUCCCAUUGAGGUCAGAGGCGGAGGACCUUCGGGCUUCGCGCUAAAGGAUCGGUCGACUCCCUACCAGCUAGACGGCGGGGUAACGGCCCACCGUGGCUGCGACGGGUACCCGGGCUUAGAGGCUGACCGGGCACAUCGGCACUGAGACACUGGCCGGACACCUACGGGUGGCUGCAGUUCGGAAUAUUCGGCAAUGGACGCAAGUCUGACCGAGCGACGCCGCGUGCGGGAUGAAGGCCCUCUGGGUUGUAAACCGCUUUAGACAGUGAGCAAGUCAUGCCGGGCUAAUAACCCGGUAUGUUGAGUUAAGCUGUUAAAUAAGCCCCCGCUAAUCACGUGCCAGCAGCGGCGGUAAUACGUGAGGGGCGAACGUUGUUCGGUGUCACUGGGCUUAAAGGGCGCGUAGGUGGUUGCAUAAGUAAGGUGUGAAAUCCCUCGGCUUACCCGGGGAAUUGCGCCUUAUACUGUGUGACUUGAGGGCCAUAGGGGAACGGGGAACUCCAGGUGUAGCGGUGAAAUGCGCAGAUAUCUGGGGGAAGGCCGGCGGCGAAGGCGCCGUUCUGGAUGGUACCUGACACUGAGGCGCGAAAGCGUGGGGAGCAAACAGGAUUAGAUACCCUGGUAGUCCACGCCCUAAACGAUGGAUACUA
RNAcentral lists this ribosomal RNA (757 nucleotides) under uncultured bacterium. RNAcentral's name for it is "bacterial SSU rRNA". It matches the Rfam family "Bacterial small subunit ribosomal RNA", at positions 85 to 818 of the family's 1533-position model. The record is from RNAcentral.